RNAcentral lists this ribosomal RNA (1308 nucleotides) under Weissella confusa. Its description in RNAcentral is "bacterial SSU rRNA". It matches the Rfam family "Bacterial small subunit ribosomal RNA", at positions 64 to 1353 of the family's 1533-position model. The record is from RNAcentral. Lineage: Bacteria; Bacillati; Bacillota; Bacilli; Lactobacillales; Lactobacillaceae.
GAGAGCUUGCUCAGAUAUGACGAUGGACAUUGCAAAGAGUGGCGAACGGGUGAGUAACACGUGGGAAACCUACCUCUUAGCAGGGGAUAACAUUUGGAAACAGAUGCUAAUACCGUAUAACAAUGACAACCGCAUGGUUGUUAUUUAAAAGAUGGUUCUGCUAUCACUAAGAGAUGGUCCCGCGGUGCAUUAGCUAGUUGGUAAGGUAAUGGCUUACCAAGGCGAUGAUGCAUAGCCGAGUUGAGAGACUGAUCGGCCACAAUGGGACUGAGACACGGCCCAUACUCCUACGGGAGGCAGCAGUAGGGAAUCUUCCACAAUGGGCGAAAGCCUGAUGGAGCAACGCCGCGUGUGUGAUGAAGGGUUUCGGCUCGUAAAACACUGUUGUAAGAGAAGAAUGACAUUGAGAGUAACUGUUCAAUGUGUGACGGUAUCUUACCAGAAAGGAACGGCUAAAUACGUGCCAGCAGCCGCGGUAAUACGUAUGUUCCAAGCGUUAUCCGGAUUUAUUGGGCGUAAAGCGAGCGCAGACGGUUAUUUAAGUCUGAAGUGAAAGCCCUCAGCUCAACUGAGGAAUUGCUUUGGAAACUGGAUGACUUGAGUGCAGUAGAGGAAAGUGGAACUCCAUGUGUAGCGGUGAAAUGCGUAGAUAUAUGGAAGAACACCAGUGGCGAAGGCGGCUUUCUGGACUGUAACUGACGUUGAGGCUCGAAAGUGUGGGUAGCAAACAGGAUUAGAUACCCUGGUAGUCCACACCGUAAACGAUGAGUGCUAGGUGUUUGAGGGUUUCCGCCCUUAAGUGCCGCAGCUAACGCAUUAAGCACUCCGCCUGGGGAGUACGACCGCAAGGUUGAAACUCAAAGGAAUUGACGGGGACCCGCACAAGCGGUGGAGCAUGUGGUUUAAUUCGAAGCAACGCGAAGAACCUUACCAGGUCUUGACAUCCCUUGACAACUCCAGAGAUGGAGCGUUCCCUUCGGGGACAAGGUGACAGGUGGUGCAUGGUUGUCGUCAGCUCGUGUCGUGAGAUGUUGGGUUAAGUCCCGCAACGAGCGCAACCCUUAUUACUAGUUGCCAGCAUUCAGUUGGGCACUCUAGUGAGACUGCCGGUGACAAACCGGAGGAAGGUGGGGAUGACGUCAAAUCAUCAUGCCCCUUAUGACCUGGGCUACACACGUGCUACAAUGGCGUAUACAACGAGUUGCCAACCCGCGAGGGUGAGCUAAUCUCUUAAAGUACGUCUCAGUUCGGAUUGUAGGCUGCAACUCGCCUACAUGAAGUCGGAAUCGCUAGUAAUCGCGGAUCAGC